CUACGGGGGGCUGCAGUGAGGAAUAUUGCACAAUGGGGGGAACCCUGAUGCAGCAACGCCGCGUGGAGGAUGACGCAUUUCGGUGUGUAAACUCCUUUUAUAUGUCAAGAAAAUGACGGUAGCAUAUGAAUAAGCACCGGCUAACUCCGUGUCAGCAGCCGCGGUAAUACGGAGGGUGCAAGCGUUACUCGGAAUCACUGGGCGUAAAGGACGCGUAGGCGGGUUGGAAAGUCAGGUGUAAAAUCCUACAGCUUAACUGUAGAACUGCACUUGAAACUUCUAAUCUAGAGUAUGGGAGGGGGAGAUGGAAUUAGUGGUGUAGGGGUAAAAUCCGUAGAUAUCACUAGGAAUACCUAAAGCGAAGGCGAUCUCCUGGAACAUUACUGACGCUAAGGCGUGAAAGCGUGGGGAGCAAACAGGAUUAGAUACCCCCGUAGUC
RNAcentral lists this ribosomal RNA (439 nucleotides) under uncultured bacterium. RNAcentral describes it as "partial 16S ribosomal RNA". It matches the Rfam family "Bacterial small subunit ribosomal RNA", at positions 339 to 795 of the family's 1533-position model. The record is from RNAcentral.